GCCUAAGGCCAUACCAUCCAGAACAUGCCCUAUCUUAUCUGAUCUUGGAAGCUAAGCAGGGUCAGGCUUGGUUAGUAUUUGGAUGGGAGACAGAGCUUCAGAAGAGACU
RNAcentral lists this ribosomal RNA (109 nucleotides) under Castor canadensis (American beaver). The record is from RNAcentral. Lineage: Eukaryota; Metazoa; Chordata; Mammalia; Rodentia; Castoridae.